UACCGACUAGCUAGCUCACUCAACCAAAAUCAACUCAGCCAUUGUUAAUUAACCCCAAACUACACUUACCUAAAAUACUAAACCAUUUUUUUCCUCAGUACGGGAGACGAAAAAGGCCACUACCCUUUGAAGCAACAGAAAAAGUACCGCAAGGGAACGCUGAAAAAGAAAUGAAAAAACUCAGUUAAGCAUAGUAAAGCAGAGAGCCCUUCCCUCGUACCUUUUGCAUCAUGAUUUAGCAAGAAACAGUUAAGCAAAAAGAAUUUUAGUUUAACACCCCGAAACUAGGCGAGCUACUCCAAGACAGUCUAUUUUAUAGGACAAAUCCGUCUCUGUGGCAAAAGAGUGGAGAGAGCUUCGAGUAGAGGCGAAAAACCUAACGAGCCUAGCUAUAGCUGGUUGCCUAAGAAUUGAAUAGAAGUUCAGCCCUUUAAAUUCUUUAUUCAACUCGGACAUCCCGUCCACAGAUUUAAAAGAACAAAUUAAAAGAGUUAAUCAAAGGGGGUACAGCCCCUUUGAUAGAGGACACAACCUUUCUAGCAGAGUGCAGAUUAUAAUUCUAUUUAAAGGUUAAUACUUUAGUGGGCCUAAAAGCAGCCACCCAGGAGAAAGCGUUAAAGCUUAAGUAUACCCUUAACCUCCCCCAAUCUCAAUAACCUACAUCUAAACUCGCUUGCCUCUAUUAGGCCACUCCAUCUACCCCGUGGAGGCGAUCAUGCUAAAAUGAGUAAUAAGAGGGACCUAGCCCCUCUCCACGCACACUUGUACAUCGGAACGGACCCCCACCGAAAGUUAAUCGGCCCUAAAACAAGAAGGAACUGGAUUAAAAAUGACUUACCAGAAAAACAUCCAACUGAACCACCGUUUAACCCACACUGGUGUGCACUACACGGAAAGACAAAAAGAAAGAGAAGGAACUCGGCAAACUCUUACCUUUACCAAGCCUCGCCUGUUUACCAAAAACAUCGCCUCUUGCUAUUCACUUAUAAGAGGUCCCGCCUGCCCUGUGACUACAGGUUUAACGGCCGCGGUAUUUUGACCGUGCUAAGGUAGCGCAAUCAAUUGUCUUUUAAAUGAAGACCAGUAUGAAUGGCACCACGAGGGCUUAACUGUCUCCUUUUUCCUGUCAAUGAAAUUGAUCCCCCCGUGCAGAAGCGGGGAUAUUACCAUAAGACGAGAAGACCCUAUGGAGCUUUAGGCUCCCGAACAGACUAUGUUAAAUAACCUAAAAUACAAGAAGAAACCAUUAUAACCCUGCUCUUAUGCCUUCGGUUGGGGCGACCACGGGGCAAUAAAAAACCCCCGCGCGGACCGGGAGAACAACCCCUCCAUACAACCUAGAGACACAACUCUAAGUUACAAAAUUUCUGACCACUACAUGAUCCGGCACUGACCGAUCAACGAACCCAGUUACCCUAGGGAUAACAGCGCAAUCCCCUUUUAGAGCCCAUAUCAACAAGGGGGUUUACGACCUCGAUGUUGGAUCAGGACAUCCUAUUGGUGCAGCCGCUAUUAAGGGUUCGUUUGUUCAACGAUUAAUAGUCCUACGUGAUCUGAGUUCAGACCGGAGUAAUCCAGGUCAGUUUCUAUCUAUGACAUGUCCUUUUUCAGUACGAAAGGACCUAAGAGGAGGAGCCAAUGUUUUAAAUACGCUCCACCCCCACCUAGUGAAAUCAACUAAACUAGACGAGGGGGCCUACCCUUUUCCAGCCUGAGAUUAUAGCUG
Molecule: ribosomal RNA, 1726 nt
Filed under: Apistogramma cacatuoides
Lineage: Eukaryota; Metazoa; Chordata; Actinopteri; Cichliformes; Cichlidae
Description: 16S ribosomal RNA
Rfam family: Bacterial large subunit ribosomal RNA (bases 109-1611)
Source: RNAcentral